AGAACGAACGCUGGCGGCAUGCCUAACACAUGCAAGUCGAACGAGACCUUCGGGUCUAGUGGCGGACGGGUGAGUAACACGUGGGAACGUGCCCUUUGGUUCGGAAUAGCUCCUGGAAACGGGUGGUAAUGCCGAAUGUGCCCCCUCCCUUGAUCGGGGGGGUGGGAAAGAUUUAUCGCCAUUGGAGCGGCCCGCGUCUGAUUAGCUAGUUGGUGAGGUAAAGGCUCACCAAGGCGACGAUCAGUAGCUGGUCUGAGAGGAUGACCAGCCACAUUGGGACUGAGACACGGCCCAAACUCCUACGGGAGGCAGCAGUGGGGAAUCUUGCGCAAUGGGCGAAAGCCUGACGCAGCCAUGCCGCGUGAAUGAUGAAGGUCUUAGGAUUGUAAAAUUCUUUCACCGGGACGAUAAUGACGGUACCCGGAGAAGAAGCCCGGCUAACUUCGUGCCAGCAGCCGC
This 459-nucleotide ribosomal RNA is filed under the name uncultured soil bacterium. RNAcentral's name for it is "bacterial SSU rRNA". It matches the Rfam family "Bacterial small subunit ribosomal RNA", at positions 26 to 518 of the family's 1533-position model. The record is from RNAcentral.